RNAcentral lists this transfer RNA (91 nucleotides) under Negativicutes bacterium. RNAcentral's name for it is "tRNA-Ser". It matches the Rfam family "tRNA". From Rfam's summary of the family: Transfer RNA (tRNA) molecules are approximately 80 nucleotides in length. Their secondary structure includes four short double-helical elements and three loops (D, anti-codon, and T loops). The record is from RNAcentral. Lineage: Bacteria; Bacillati; Bacillota; Negativicutes.
GGAGUGGUACUCAAGCGGCUGAAGAGGGCGGUUUGCUAAAUCGUUAGCAGAGGCAACUCUGGCGUGGGUUCAAAUCCCACUCACUCCGCCA